UACGGUGGGGGCAAGCGUUGUUCGGAAUUACUGGGCGUAAAGGGCUCGUAGGCGGCCAACUAAGUCGGAUGUGAAAUCCCCAGGCUUAACCUGGGAACUGCAUCCGAUACUGGAUGGCUUGAAUCCGGGAGAGGGAUGCAGAAUUCCAGGUGUAGCGGUGAAAUGCGUAGAUAUCUGGAGGAAUACCGGUGGCGAAGGCGGCAUCCUGGACCGGCAUUGACGCUGAGGAGCGAAAGCUAGGGGAGCAAACGGG
This 253-nucleotide ribosomal RNA is filed under the name uncultured bacterium. Its description in RNAcentral is "partial 16S ribosomal RNA". It matches the Rfam family "Bacterial small subunit ribosomal RNA", at positions 524 to 776 of the family's 1533-position model. The record is from RNAcentral.